UUACAUGAUGAAACGGCACUGGGCUCCGAAUCACAAUUCGCAUGAGUAGAUACGCCAUUUUGUGGCAGGCCUAGAAAACCUCGCCCACUGAUU
RNAcentral lists this small nucleolar RNA (93 nucleotides) under Pestalotiopsis fici W106-1. Its description in RNAcentral is "A. fumigatus snoRNA Afu_513". It matches the Rfam family "A. fumigatus snoRNA Afu_513". Lineage: Eukaryota; Fungi; Ascomycota; Sordariomycetes; Amphisphaeriales; Sporocadaceae. The record is from Rfam by way of RNAcentral.